This is a long non-coding RNA of Cyprinus carpio carpio, 764 nucleotides long. Lineage: Eukaryota; Metazoa; Chordata; Actinopteri; Cypriniformes; Cyprinidae. The record is from Ensembl.
CCUCUUCGCUGAAUACAGCUCACGGUAAGUACUGGUUCACACAGUUCGUUCUCUGGGUGCUCACUCUCUUUCUCUUUCUCCACAGGCAACGGCUGGGACACACAGGCACAGUUAGUUCAGCUUGGUUUUGCUCUCACCUCUUCGCUGAUUACAGCUCACAGUAAGUACUGGUUCACACAGUUCGUUCCUUGGGUGCUCACUCGCUUUCUCUUUCUCCACAGGCAACGGCUGGGACACACAGGCACAGUUAGUUCAGCUUGGUUUUGCUCUCACCUCUUCGCUGAUUACAGCUCACAGUAAGUACUGGUUCACACAGUUCGUUCCUUGGGUGCUCACUCGCUUUCUCUUUCUCCACAGGCAGCGGCGUAAGUACAGGUUUCCUCGAUCUCUCCUCGUGUUACCCACUCUCUCUCCUUUUCUCUCCACAGGUAUCAACUUGGGCACAAUAGCACAGUUAGUUUGCUUUGAAUGGCUCUCACCUCUGGGCUGGACACAGCGUACUGUAAGUACAGGGUUCGCUCUGUUUCUCCUUGUGUUACUCACUCUCUCUUUCCUUUCCUCUCCACAGGUAUCAACUUGGACGCAAAGCACAGUUACUCUGCUUUGGAUGGCUUUCACCUCUGGGCUGGACACAGCGUACUGUGCUAUCUCCGGAGAUCUGAAGCACGCUCACAACAUAUACUAUACUGAACUAGGCUAGGACCAGCAGUCUCCUUGUCCUCCCGCGACGAAGUGCGUGAAGGCGGGGGUUUAUCUGACAGGAC